This 352-nucleotide ribosomal RNA is filed under the name Eukaryota sp. Its description in RNAcentral is "SSU rRNA". It matches the Rfam family "Eukaryotic small subunit ribosomal RNA", at positions 1325 to 1698 of the family's 1831-position model. The record is from RNAcentral.
GCGUUAACGAACGAGACCUUAACCUGCUAAAUAGACCAGCCGGCUUUGGCUAGCUGCUGUCUUCUUAGAGGGACUAUCAGCGUUUAGCUGAUGGAAGUUUGAGGCAAUAACAGGUCUGUGAUGCCCUUAGAUGUUCUGGGCCGCACGCGCGCUACACUGACAGAGCCAGCGAGUCUACCACCUUUGCCGGAAGGCAUGGGUAAUCUUGUGAAACUCUGUCGUGAUGGGGAUAGAACAUUGCAAUUAUUGUUCUUCAACGAGGAAUACCUAGUAAGCGUGAUUCAUCAGAUCGCGUUGAUUACGUCCCUGCCCUUUGUACACACCGCCCGUCGCUAAUACCGAUUGAAUGGAU